Molecule: long non-coding RNA, 458 nt
Organism: Homalodisca vitripennis (glassy-winged sharpshooter)
Lineage: Eukaryota; Metazoa; Arthropoda; Insecta; Hemiptera; Cicadellidae
Exons: 2
Source: RefSeq, a predicted model, not a curated record
CUAAAACUGUGUUAAUAUAGCCAAAUAUAUUGUGAUUCAUAUUUUGGUCAUCAAGUGAUAUAUUGUGAAAUAAAUUUUGUGUGUAUAUUAUAUAUAUAUAUAUUUAUAUAUAAAUAAAUAUUUGAACCUGAGUUAUAGAGUAGGCUAAACACAUCAUGGUAAUGCUAGCCUUCUAAGGUUUUAAUUUCAAGACUAUGUGUGCCUAGCACUUUGCCUGACAUUAAAAAAUUGUGGUUAACACAUUUAAAAACAGUGAUCUAGUGUAAUUUUUUCCAUAAAGCUACAAGUUGAGUUAAAGGAAAAAAGUGGAUUUUUUAGAACAACACAUAACAGUUCAUGUGAUUUAUCAUACAAAUUUAUUAAACUGUACAUCAGUAAACAACCUAUUUUGGAGGUAGGAUAUCAUGAAAGAGUGUUGUACUGGUGGGAAUUUUCCAAAAGUGGAUUGGCAACACUGG